UGCUUUGAGCAGUGGCAGUAUCGUAGCCAAUGAGGUUUAUCUGAGGUGUGAUUAUUGCUAAUUGAAAAAACAGGAAUAUAUACCUAUAAAUGGUAACUUUUAUUGUAUAUAAAUUGCAUCUCAAUUAGUCACAUAU
RNAcentral lists this small nuclear RNA (136 nucleotides) under Canis lupus familiaris (dog). RNAcentral describes it as "U4 spliceosomal RNA (multiple genes)". The stretch from base 1 to 114 matches the Rfam family "U4 spliceosomal RNA". From Rfam's summary of the family: U4 small nuclear RNA (U4 snRNA) is a component of the major U2-dependent spliceosome. The structure of U4 snRNA from yeast and human has been reported. The record is from RNAcentral. Lineage: Eukaryota; Metazoa; Chordata; Mammalia; Carnivora; Canidae.